GGUAAUUUAGUUUAAGGACAACAACGCAUUACCAUGUUUAACAUGAAUAGUUAAAAUCUUAAACACCUAUUAUCCCCUAAAUAUAAAGGGAGAUAUGGGU
RNAcentral lists this ribosomal RNA (100 nucleotides) under Candidatus Hodgkinia cicadicola. The record is from RNAcentral. Lineage: Bacteria; Pseudomonadati; Pseudomonadota; Alphaproteobacteria; Hyphomicrobiales.